RNAcentral lists this ribosomal RNA (388 nucleotides) under uncultured bacterium. RNAcentral's name for it is "partial 16S ribosomal RNA". It matches the Rfam family "Bacterial small subunit ribosomal RNA", at positions 523 to 918 of the family's 1533-position model. The record is from RNAcentral.
AUACAUAGGGGGCGAGCGUUAUCCGGAUUUAUUGGGCGUAAAGGGUGCGUAGGCGGUAAAGUAAGUAUAAGGUUAAAGUGCAGGGCUCAACCCUGUGGUGCCUUAGAAACUGGUUUACUUGAGUUUGGUAGAGGUAAGUGGAACUGCAUGUGUAGCGGUAAAAUGCGUAAAUAUAUGGAAGAACACCAGUGGCGAAGGGGGCUUACUGGGCCACAACUGACGCUGAGGCACGAAAGCGUGGGGAGCAAACAGGAUUAGAUACCCUGGUAGUCCACGCUGUAAACGAUGAAUACUAAGUGUUGGAAAAAUCCAGUGCUGAAGUUAACGCAUUAAGUAUUCCGCCUGAGUAGUACGUACGCAAGUAUGAAACUCAAAUGAAUGGACGGGG